RNAcentral lists this ribosomal RNA (253 nucleotides) under uncultured bacterium. RNAcentral's name for it is "partial 16S ribosomal RNA". It matches the Rfam family "Bacterial small subunit ribosomal RNA", at positions 524 to 776 of the family's 1533-position model. The record is from RNAcentral.
UACGAAGGGGGCUAGCGUUGUUCGGAUUUACUGGGCGUAAAGCGCACGUAGGCGGUUUGUUAAGUCAGGGGUGAAAUCCUGGAGCUCAACUCCAGAACUGCCUUUGAUACUGGCAAUCUUGAGUCCGGAAGAGGUGAGUGGAAUUCCGAGUGUAGAGGUGAAAUUCGUAGAUAUUCGGAGGAACACCAGUGGCGAAGGCGGCUCACUGGUCCAUUACUGACGCUGAGGUGCGAAAGCGUGGGGAGCAAACAGG